AAAAAUAGAAAAAGAAAAUAGAAAAGAAAAAAAAUGAAAAAAAUAGAAGGAUGUCAAUACAUACUCCUUCUGGAAAAAAAAAGAAUAAAAAGAGAAAGGAGAAAGAGAAAACAAUUGCUAUAGAGUUGUUCAAGUGAAUGAAAUAUUUUAUAAAUUCAACUCCUGCAGCUUCUUUCAAGUCUCUUUUAUCUCUUUGAAUUUUAGCCUAGUCCCUUAGGAUUU
This 222-nucleotide long non-coding RNA is filed under the name Lathyrus oleraceus (garden pea). Its description in RNAcentral is "Pisum sativum (pea) long non-coding RNA (PSAT_LNC002750)". Lineage: Eukaryota; Viridiplantae; Streptophyta; Magnoliopsida; Fabales; Fabaceae. The record is from RNAcentral.